AUGAACGCUGGCGGCGUGCCUAAUACAUGCAAGUCGAGCGAACGGACGAGAAGCUUGCUUCUCUGAUGUUAGCGGCGGACGGGUGAGUAACACGUGGAUAACCUACCUAUAAGACUGGGAUAACUUCGGGAAACCGGAGCUAAUACCGGAUAAUAUUUUGAACCGCCUGGUUCAAAAGUGAAAGACGGUCUUGCUGUCACUUAUAGAUGGAUCCGCGCUGCAUUAGCUAGUUGGUAAGGUAACGGCUUACCAAGGCAACGAUGCAUAGCCGACCUGAGAGGGUGAUCGGCCACACUGGAACUGAGACACGGUCCAGACUCCUACGGGAGGCAGCAGUAGGGAAUCUUCCGCAAUGGGCGAAAGCCUGACGGAGCAACGCCGCGUGAGUGAUGAAGGUCUUCGGAUCGUAAAACUCUGUUAUUAGGGAAGAACAUAUGUGUAAGUAACUGUGCACAUCUUGGCGGUACCUAAUCAGAAAGCCACGGCUAACUACGUG
This 496-nucleotide ribosomal RNA is filed under the name uncultured bacterium. RNAcentral's name for it is "partial 16S ribosomal RNA". It matches the Rfam family "Bacterial small subunit ribosomal RNA", at positions 29 to 507 of the family's 1533-position model. The record is from RNAcentral.